RNAcentral lists this ribosomal RNA (496 nucleotides) under uncultured bacterium. RNAcentral's name for it is "partial 16S ribosomal RNA". It matches the Rfam family "Bacterial small subunit ribosomal RNA", at positions 28 to 507 of the family's 1533-position model. The record is from RNAcentral.
GACGAACGCUGGCGGCGUGCCUAAUACAUGCAAGUUGAGCGCUGAAGGUUGGUACUUGUACCAACUGGAUGAGCAGCGAACGGGUGAGUAACGCGUGGGGAAUCUGCCUUUGAGCGGGGGACAACAUUUGGAAACGAAUGCUAAUACCGCAUAAAAACUUUAAACACAAGUUUCAGUUUGAAAGAUGCAAUUGCAUCACUCAAAGAUGAUCCCGCGUUGUAUUAACUAGUUGGUGAGGUAAAGGCUCACCAAGGCGAUGAUACAUAGCCGACCUGGGAGGGGGAUCCGCCACAUUGGGACCGAGACACGGCCCAAACUCCUACGGGAGGCAGCAGGAGGGAAACUUCGGCAAUGGACGAAAGUCUGACCGGGGAACGCCGCGUGAGGGAAGAAGGUUUUCGGAUCGGAAAACUCUGUUGGUAGGGAAGAACGUUGGUGAGAGUGGAAAGCUCAUCAAGUGACGGUAACUACCCAGAAAGGGACGGCUAACUACGUG